GCGGGCACCUGUUCGGGGGCCACCCCAACUUCAGGGCCAGCAGCAGCUGGGUUGACCGGACCCAGCUUCCCUGACAUCUGGUGGUGGAGCACGCCUGAUCCUUUAAACCUGAAGGCUCAGCAGAGCAGUGGCUACGAUCAUAACCUCUGGCGUUGUGACGCCUCUCUGACACAGGGUCCGCGUCUCACCUCAGCUCUCUGAAGCCCUGGGCUGGGAGCAGAAGCCUCACUCUAGAGAUGGGAAAACCAAAUGCAACGUGCGCUUUCGAGGCAGAUCUGGCUGGAAUUCCUGCUCUGUCCCUGUUUCCUCUUCUGCCCAAGAGCACAGAUAAUGCUUCCUACAGCUUUUAUGUCAGAAGGAGAUAAAACGUCAUAGGGCUCAGUACACUGCCUCGGCCUGCAGCUGCUGCCGAAGCUCCACAGACCAUGGUGGACCAAGGUGGAGCCCACAGCCAUCUGUGCAGGGCAGGGGCUGGACAGAGACCCUGUUGCCAGCCUCGCUGUUGCUACUGCGGGUGAGAGACUGUGCUGCCAGCACCCCAGGCCAGCCCUGGCAGGCCUCUCUCCCAGGGCGGCCCCUGCAUCAUCACCCUUCUUAGCAGCGGAGAGUGUGCGUCCAUUUCUCCGGGGCCACAGGGAGCCCGAGGCUGUCUCUGUUCCUCACGGUGACUCCUGCAGUCUUGGUGCGGCUCACUCACGGAUGAGACAGGACUACAUUCUGAGGGAGCCUCGGCCCCUUGGGGAACACGCUUUUCAAUCCGGGUCUGAGCGCUCCACCCCUCAUUUCCUGGGCAAACAGCCGUCUUUACGUCCAUCAAACCCUCAGCCCAGCCUCUCUGGCUGUGGCUUAAAGAAUUUCUCUGCAUGAACCUCCCAGCCCCAACACCUUUCAAAGUACACAGCUGCUCUCCUUUCAGAAUCUUUUCAUUGCA
RNAcentral lists this long non-coding RNA (931 nucleotides) under Fukomys damarensis (Damara mole-rat). RNAcentral's name for it is "lncRNA (ENSFDAG00000032993.1)". The record is from RNAcentral. Lineage: Eukaryota; Metazoa; Chordata; Mammalia; Rodentia; Bathyergidae.